CAGAACUUACAAGUGCUUUACCAGAGUUAAUUGAGUAAAUUGAAGCAAGCUGCAUCGCAGUGGUGAUCUAUGAUCCCCGGGUUGAGGGCCCAGAAGGGAGACAACAGAUUUACUGCAAGGACAGUGGGCGGCCUUUUGUUCAGGCCCUGGUUCAUGGGAAGUUUGAGGUCAGUCGGGAUUAAAAUAUCUCCAGGAACAAAUGAAGUAAUUUGAGAGUAAUAUAAGGAGCCCUGUGCCAGUUUCUACCACGGAUUCCAGGUGUGAUUUGUUUGAUUUUGAGCCGCAUGUCCCUUUUUGAUCUUUCCCCCCCUCAUUCUAUUAUUUAGGAUUUAUAGAUAAGAGGAAGAUUGGCCCUUAUUAACUGGCCCUUUAGUUCUGGUUGACAUAACCGAAGGAGAGGGAGUCUUGCACUAUCAACACAAACAAGUACCAAGAAGGGAAAAGUCAGGCAGCCUCCACUUCAGGGGACAGCGCUACUAGUGCCUCUAACUUUCGCUUUAAGAGUCUCGGUGAGAUUGCAGUUCUUGGUUGUUCUAAACUACAUACAUGGUCAUAACUAGGCACAUUGGGGACUGGGGUUGGGGGAGGACUGAACCAGCUGGCCAAGGUGGAGGUGAUCCUAUCGUGUGGUGAUUGCGUUAAAUUGAGAGCUCAGAGGAACCACUGAAGAGUCCUGGUAAAAUAUGACCUACACCAACAACUGGUGCCAAAAGCAGAAAGGGAACAGGUGGGAUGAAACAUGAGGAUAUUUGUGAUUGCAUGGGAAAAUUUAGCAUUCCACCAUUCACAUGCAAUCACAUACUGGUUUGCAGCCCAUCCAAGAAUGGUUUCCCUUUUCCUCCCCACCUACUCGUCUUCCCUCAACCCCAUUGAGGAAUUGUUUCUGCCUGGAGGUGGAAAGUGUAUGAUCAUCGGCCACAUGACCAAAUGUCCCUCCUGGAUGCAACGGAUGCCGACUGCAGAGACAUCUCAGCCGAAGACUGCCAUAAGGCGUGCUAAGCGUUUCUAUCCAAGGUGAAUAGCGAGAGACGACAUAAGAUGUGAUGUGGUUGAGAACAUGUGGCCAAAUGCUGAAGAUCGUAUAGAUUUGAACAGGGCUGUGCAAUUGUUUUGUUUUUUCCCUUCUGUGCCCUUUGUACUGUAAUUGUGUUUUCUUUUUACACAUUUUGGAACCAAAGGCCAUGUAUGCUGGAUUUCUUGUUGAUCAUUGGCAGCAAUUUCAUGUUGCUAAUACAGCUUUUACUGCAGCAAUUCUGUCACUUGCUAUUUUUUUCAACUGUACAUUCUAUAAAGUAAAGAUGACUCAUUCACUUUUAGAUUGUAUGUUGCCAAAAAUGCACAUUAACAACACUCAACCCCACAAAAAAUGUAGGGGUGGUUUACAGUAAAAGGAAACAGAAUUAUUUAAAAAAACGAUGGAUUUCAUAUUGUCUAUUGUUAUGCAGGUAGAACUGAAACAUGAAAAGUAAUGCUGUUUUUGUAACGCCAUCAACUGUUAGUAUUUUGAAAGGCCUUGUGCUAUGAUUGACUAUAUGUUCCCCUUAGAUAGAAAACACUUGCUAGUGUUUUGACAGAAUGAUUAGAUAUUGAGUCAGGUUUGCCGUGUUUUGAUAGUUAGUGUAUGUAGAGAAAGUUUUUUAGCAUUUUGAAAUGUAGAGGUGCUAUUUAAUGAACAAAAUGUGGUUUUGUGCAAAAAAAUGUACUAUUUGGCUAAUUGUGUGAUGUCGGUGUGUUGCUGUUUUAAGAGUUUAGAAACAGCAAUUGUAAGAAACUGUAAUGCUAAUUAAUGAUAAAGCUCAGUACAGUCUCACAAAA
Molecule: long non-coding RNA, 1815 nt
Organism: Oncorhynchus kisutch (coho salmon)
Lineage: Eukaryota; Metazoa; Chordata; Actinopteri; Salmoniformes; Salmonidae
Exons: 2
Source: RefSeq, a predicted model, not a curated record